Molecule: unclassified non-coding RNA, 406 nt
Filed under: soil metagenome
Description: partial contains 5.8S ribosomal RNA, internal transcribed spacer 2, and large subunit ribosomal RNA
Rfam family: 5.8S ribosomal RNA (bases 1-121)
Source: RNAcentral
GAUGAAGAACGUAGCGAAAUGCGAUAAGUAGUGUGAAUUGCAGAAUUCAGUGAAUCAUCGAAUCUUUGAACGCACCUUGCGCCCUUUGGCUAUUCCGAAGGGCAUGCCUGUUUGAGUAUCAUGAACACCUCAACUCUCAUGGUUUUUCCAUGAUGGGCUUGGACUUUGGGGGUCUUGCCGGCCUAUGGUCAGCUCCUCUUAAAUGAAUCAGCUUGCCAGUGUUUGGUGUGGCAUCACAGGUGUGAUAACUAUCUCCGCUUGUGGUUUUCCAUCAAGUAACCUUCAGUGAUGGAGGUUCGCUGGGGCUCAUAAAGGCCUCUCCUCGGUGAGGAUGGCUCCUUUGAACGUUUGAUCUCAAAUCAGGUAGGACUACCCGCUGAACUUAAGCAUAUCAAUAAGCGGAGGA